RNAcentral lists this long non-coding RNA (341 nucleotides) under Olea europaea (common olive). RNAcentral describes it as "long non-coding RNA (OEUR_LNC004510)". Lineage: Eukaryota; Viridiplantae; Streptophyta; Magnoliopsida; Lamiales; Oleaceae. The record is from RNAcentral.
GGCACGAAGUUCAGAGGCCAUAGCUUCAUGCCAAUGAGAGUGGCGAUUUGCUUCUGAGUAACAAGUCGGUUCAACAGAAGCAGUAAGAGCAGUUAAGAAUGAAUAAUGAGCAUGAGAAAAACGAGAGUAUGACAGAUAAGUGCAUAAGGGGUGGGAAGUACCUGAGGACUGUGCAGCGGUUGAGGAGGCAAUGAACUCCACAGGGAUAGUAGGACAGACAUAAUCAAGGAGAUAUGCUGGACGAGUAGUGUGGCGACGAGGUCGGGAAGGAAUAGUGGCGGUGGGUGGGGGUUCUUGGGGUAUGGUCGAGGAAGGGAAAGGAGAUAUGGGUUCGGUGAUAG